Dreissena polymorpha is the source of this 1763-nucleotide long non-coding RNA. RefSeq lists it as uncharacterized. The transcript is spliced from 4 exons. Lineage: Eukaryota; Metazoa; Mollusca; Bivalvia; Myida; Dreissenidae. The record is from RefSeq and is a predicted model, not a curated record.
ACAACUGAAUCAGUCGCAAUGUGACUAAUGGAUAACAAGAUAUAUUGUACAUUUGUUAUUUGUUUAACAUCAACUCGCACGUUUGGGUUAGUAGAGUCUUAUUCGCACGCAUCGUAACGACAAGCCUUUUAAUACUCACAAUAGCUAACGCUUACCGAACAAGUAUUUCAUAAGUAGUUUUUAACUGCGACACACAUUAUUAAGCAAUUGCUACCAUUAUUGUUUAAAUGCAGACCUAAAAAUCGACACCCAAUCGUGACAAGGAACAAGGAAUUAAGCUUGUAUAGAACUUACUUUUCACAUAACACUAAUGGUCGUACAUAAGUGGAAUUGGGGCGGGUUUAAAACAGUUUUCAUUGUUCUUCAUCCGGUCAUAAACUUAUGGGAUUCAUGAAUUUCGAAUUUAGAUGUUACUUCAUUCGAUCGUUUAAGUAUAAGAAUAACAUCAUUAUUGAAUAUAGUCAUAAGAUAAAAUGUCACAGGUUAACAAAUGCACGCUUAUGGUAUAUCUCUUAUUGGUUGGAUUUUAUGGCACGUCAUGUUUCAUGUGCGGAGGUACACCGUGCGAAGAAGGCGGGGUGUGUUGCUCACCGUUUAGCAGGAAUAUCAGCGGACCCUGUUGCUGCCUUGGAGCACUGAUGACGUGCUCAUCAGCUCCGAUCGAGCCGUCCAAGCCAAUAAAGCACGAUUCCAACAUUUUCCCUUUGUGGGGAAAGAUAGUGAUUCCGAUUGCGAUCAUCGGUGUUUUAGUUGCUGUGGGUGUCCUGAUCUACAAGAAAAAUUUGUGUGCGCGACGCUCGUAUUCGAAUUUGCCAUGAUCUUUUAUUCGAACAUUUUACUUUCUGAUUUUAAAUUUGUUUUAGUCACUCCUGUAACUGCUGUUGACAUCUUAUGUUCAUGGCUCUUUUAAAAUACAGGAUUACUGUUUAAAACCGAUGUUCAUAUUACAUUUAAUCAAUGAAAUAUCGAAUAAAAUAUCUUCUAUAAAGUAUAUGUUAUGUAAAUGUCUUUAUACUUCGUUACAAGCCGAAUACUGAUUUUAGUACACUAAGACAAGAACUAUGCAUAAGACUACAAGAAUCAGUAAAAACAAAAAAACAUAGUGUUUUCGAUAGUAUUUCGACAUAAAUGUGUACACGCUCGCUUCUGUCAUGUUAACAGAUUUGGAAAAGACUCACCUAAAGCAAAAUGUUUGGUUGAGAAUCAUUUCGUAACACAUGCUGUUGUUCAUAAUAUCAUAUAAUUACAUCAUACAUAUGUAAUUGAUUUAUAAUUUCAUAUGACCGAAGUUAUAUAAAAAGUUUAGGUGUGCUUUUGCAAUAUGGUUUAAGUAUAUAAUAACAACUCAUUAAAAACAAUAGGUUCUAUGUUCAAUAGAAUUACAACUAUUUAAUCGAUACGUUUUGUUUCUGUAGAGCAAAUGUUUUCGACACAGUUGAACACAACGUAAUUUUUAUGAUCACGAAUUAAACACAUAUUUAUUAUCUACCGAGACAGGCACAUUGUAUACUUUCAUUCAAUUAGUUCACAUUUUACAUGUAAAUUUUUGAAACAUUUGCAUUAAUCAUAUCGUUAUAGCGUAUUUUUACAUUAUUUUGAGCCCGGUUUUUGUUUAAUGAUGCGUGUCUUCUACUGUUAAAAUUUGUGAACCAUGAAAACGAAAUGCCAAAGUAAAACGGCGAACACUUUUAGUAAUUAUCACUGUAAAAUGUUUACGGUAGAAACAUUGAAUAACAAUGUGUUCACUCCUAUUUCUGUUUAAA